GCCUGAGAAACGGCUACCACAUCCAAGGAAGGCAGCAGGCGCGCAAAUUACCCACUCCCGGCACGGGGAGGUAGUGACGAAAAAUAACAAUACGGGACUCUUUCGAGGCCUCGUAAUUGGAAUGGGUACAGUCUAAACCUUUUAACGAGUAUCUAUUGGAGGGCAAGUCUGGUGCCAGCAGCCGCGGUAAUUCCAGCUCCAAUAGCGUAUAUUAAAGUUGUUGCGGUUAAAAAGCUCGUAGUUGGAUCUCAGUUCCAGACUGGCGGUCCACCUUAUGGUGGUUACUGCUUGGCCUGAACAUUCUGCUGGAUUUCCUUUGGUGCUCUUCACCGGGUGUCAUUGGUGGCCAGCACGUUUACUUUGAAAAAAUUAGAGUGCUCAAAGCAGGCUGAGUGCCUGAAUAAUGGUGCAUGGAAUAAUGGAAUAGGAUCUCGGUUCUAUUUUGUUGGUUUUCGGAACACGAGAUAAUGAUUAAGAGGGACAGACGGGGGCAUUCGUAUUGCGACGCUAGAGGUGAAAUUCUUGGACCGUCGCAAGACGAACUACUGCGAAAGCAUUUGCCAAGAAUGUCUUCGUUAAUCAAGAACGAAAGUUAGAGGUUCGAAGGCGAUCAGAUACCGCCCUAGUUCUAACCAUAAACGAUGCCAACCAGCGAUCCGCCGGAGUUCUUCCAAUGACUCGGCGGGCAGCUUCCGGGAAACCAAAGUGUUUGGGUUCCGGGGGAAGUAUGGUUGCAAAGCUGAAACUUAAAGGAAUUGACGGAAGGGCACCACCAGGAGUGGAGCCUGCGGCUUAAUUUGACUCAACACGGGAAAACUUACCCGGCCCGGACACCGGAAGGAUUGACAGAUUGAGAGCUCUUUCUUGAUUCGGUGGGUGGUGGUGCAUGGCCGUUCUUAGUUGGUGGAACGAUUUGUCUGGUUAAUUCCGAUAACGAACGAGACUCUAGCCUACUAAAUAGUCGACGGAUCUCUUUUUGUCCGUCGAUCUUCUUAGAGGGACAAGCGGCUUUUAGCCGCACGAGACAGAGCAAUAACAGGUCUGUGAUGCCCUUCGAUGCCCGGGGCCGCACGCGCGCUACACUGAAGGAAUCAGCGUGCAUUUAUCCCCGUCCGGUAGGACAGGGUAACCCGAUGAGUCUUCUUCGUGAUAGGGAUAGGGGCUUGUAAUUGUUCCCCUUGAACGAGGAAUUCCCAGUAAGCGCGAGUCAUAAGCUCGCGUUGAUUACGUCCCUGCCCUUUGUACACACCGCCCGUCGCUACUACCGAUUGAAUGAUUUAGUGAGGUCUUCGGACCGUUGCCCGGGGCUACGCAAGUCGCACCGGUGUGAUGGAAAGAUGAUCAAACUUGAUCAUUUAGAGGAAGUAAAAGUCGUAACAAGGUUUCC
RNAcentral lists this ribosomal RNA (1387 nucleotides) under Eukoenenia spelaea. Its description in RNAcentral is "SSU rRNA". It matches the Rfam family "Eukaryotic small subunit ribosomal RNA", at positions 394 to 1804 of the family's 1831-position model. The record is from RNAcentral. Lineage: Eukaryota; Metazoa; Arthropoda; Arachnida; Palpigradi; Eukoeneniidae.